UUAAGAUGGAAAUUUUUACCAGGUUAUUAUUAGUUAUUUUCUUGAAAAUUAAAAAAUUUGGCGGUAUUUUAGUCUUUUCAGAGGAACCUGUUACGUUAUUGAUAUUCCACGAUAAUUUGUACUUUUUUUAUUAGUUUGUAUAUCGUCGUUGUUGAAUAUUUUUAUAGAAUUAAAUAUUCAUGAUUCUAUUUAGGGAAGAAAUCAGAUCAAGAUGCAGUUUAUAAAAAAGUGUUAAUGGGUUACAAUAAUUUUAUUUAGACGGAGAGAUUUAUUUAAAAUUUUCUUGAAGGUGGAUUUGACAGUAAUUUUAUCUAUUUUGUUAAGGUGAUUAAGCUCUAAAAUAUGU
Molecule: ribosomal RNA, 346 nt
Filed under: Cathartosilvanus imbellis
Lineage: Eukaryota; Metazoa; Arthropoda; Insecta; Coleoptera; Silvanidae
Description: partial 12S ribosomal RNA
Source: RNAcentral